GGGCCACUAGCUCAACUAGGCAGAGCAACGGCCUCUUAAGCCGCAGGUUACAGGUUCGAUUCCUGUGUGGCCCA
RNAcentral lists this transfer RNA (74 nucleotides) under Chloroflexota bacterium. Its description in RNAcentral is "Chloroflexi bacterium tRNA-Lys". It matches the Rfam family "tRNA". Rfam says of the family: Transfer RNA (tRNA) molecules are approximately 80 nucleotides in length. Their secondary structure includes four short double-helical elements and three loops (D, anti-codon, and T loops). Further hydrogen bonds mediate the characteristic L-shaped molecular structure. tRNAs have two regions of fundamental functional importance: the anti-codon, which is responsible for specific mRNA codon recognition, and the 3' end, to which the tRNAs corresponding amino acid is attached (by aminoacyl-tRNA synthetases). tRNAs cope with the degeneracy of the genetic code in two manners: having more than one tRNA (with a specific anti-codon) for a particular amino acid; and 'wobble' base-pairing, i.e. permitting non-standard base-pairing at the 3rd anti-codon position. RNAcentral also lists the same sequence under 2 other names. The record is from RNAcentral. Lineage: Bacteria; Bacillati; Chloroflexota.